UACGGGGGGUGCAAGCGUUAUUCGGAAUUAUUGGGCGUAAAGGGCGCGUAGGCGGUCUUUUAAGUUAGAUGUGAAAGCCCGGGGCUUAACCCCGGAAGUGCAUUUGAAACUGAAAGACUUGAGUAUGGGAGAGGGAAGUGGAAUUCCUGGUGUAGAGGUGAAAUUCGUAGAUAUCAGGAGGAACACCGGUGGCGAAGGCGACUUCCUGGACCAAUACUGACGCUGAGGCGCGAAGGCGUGGGGAGCAAACAGG
Molecule: ribosomal RNA, 253 nt
Filed under: uncultured bacterium
Lineage: Bacteria
Description: partial 16S ribosomal RNA
Rfam family: Bacterial small subunit ribosomal RNA
Source: RNAcentral